AUGGGGAAAACGCCCUGGUUCAGCCCACAGUUUUGGCUAUUUUCCUCUCAGCCGUCCCUCUCCUGCAGGUCCUCAUGGGCUCUGAUACAUGACGGAGCCCGUAGACUCCCGCAGAUGAGGCAACUCCGUAAAAUGCAAUCCUGUGCCCGUGGGAGGUUUGACAGAGGCUCAGCGCUGCCAACAGCAGCUCAAUGCGUCUGUGCCAGGAUGGGCCGGGGGGAGGAUAACGUCUGCCACGAGGCCUCCCCCUCCCCGGCCAAAACCGGGGGGGUCGUGGCCCUGCCUAGGGGCUCCCCGAGGCAUGCGGGCGCUCCCCUGGGGGUGCCCAGGGGACGGACCCGUGCGGGGCUGGGUGACCGCGGCACAGCCCGGCUCCUGCUCUGCUGGCACGGCGGCCGGGAGCGCUGCAGGGCGCAGGGUGCCCGUCCAGGGUCGAGUCCUGAACUCGGGCACGGGGUGGGUGGGGGUGCACCUGAGAACACCCCGUACCUGUGGGGACUGGAGGUGGCUUUAAACGUCUGCAGCUGUGAUUUUCAGGGGAGGUUUCAGUGUCCUUGCGUCUGUCGUGUGGCGAAUAUUGCCACAUGGCCGGUGAAGUACAGGAUCACACGAAAAUACAAAAUGCAUUUUAGCUGUGGUACAUUCGGAGAUGCUUGUAAAACACUGCGGUUUGUCUCAGAAAUGCCUAAAAAUAACAUUCGGUUACCAAACCACUGCUGUAUGUGCAGCAGCGAGCCGUGCCAGGCAGCUGGGGGAGCUCGGCAGCAGCAGGGUUUGUGCCCCCGCCGGCGUGGUGCUGGCAGUGCCAGCCCUGGCCCCCCCAGGGACACGGCCCCCCGGCUGCGGCUGCUGCUCCCCCGGGGGCUCACCGUGAGUAGCGAUGGUUCGCGUUAUCUGAUUGCAAACCAGGGAUUUAUUCCCUGGGCCAUGGGCGAUGUGAACCCUCCUGUGCGAGGAGCAGCCGCUGGUGCGUGCAGCAGCCAGGGGCUGGCGCUCAGCAUCUCGGAGCAUCUGCCGGGCAGGCGGUGCCAGUUUCCAGCACUGCGUACCUCGGGUGCCUGUGCCGGGCUGUGUAGGUGCUAUGCCAUCGUCCCAGCGGUGCAGCGUGGCAGGGGGACGUCCACGGCUGGGUGGAGGGGGGUGAACAGAGCAGCUCCACAGCACCGGAUGCCCCCCAGGCUGUGUCCCCGGGGUGCCAGUGGCCACGGGCCGCACCGACCUCCCCAAAGCACGCCAGGGAAGUAA
RNAcentral lists this long non-coding RNA (1245 nucleotides) under Anser cygnoides (Swan goose). Its description in RNAcentral is "lncRNA (ENSACDG00005011529.1)". The record is from RNAcentral. Lineage: Eukaryota; Metazoa; Chordata; Aves; Anseriformes; Anatidae.